UCUCUUUGGUCUUCCCACAGUCCCAAAACCGAGAUUUUCAUUCCCAUAAAUCUUUUUUUUUCUCUUUGUCGAAGAACAAGAAAUCAGAUUCAGAGAAGUUUCGGAUUCAUUGUAGAAGAAAACGAAGAAGUAUGAGGAGGAAUUGAGAUUUUGAUUUUGGUUUUGUUGAUUUGAUUUGGAAUAAAAAUGGUUCAGGGGAGAAGAUUGCGAGAGAGAGAGAGAGAUUAUAAGAAGGUGAAGAGAUCGGAAAUUGAUAGAGGUGGAUCAUUUGUUGCUGUUAGAAGGAUUUCACAAGGAUUUGAGAGACUGCUAUGGUUAUCAUUCUCCUUCUGAAAGGAGGCAGACAAGGAAGUUCGCAAGGGAAGAAUGCCAACGAUUCCAUGAGUGGCGGGGUUCCUACUAGCAAUCAGAACCAGCAAGCCAUUACUAGUGGCCAGCAGAUUCUACAGUCAAUUGUAGCUCGAGGUUCCAAUGCAAGAAAGGAUAGUAAGGUGUAUCUGAGUAUGUAGAAGCCCCACUUGCGAUUCCCCAAGUAAAUGGAGGUACUGCCCGUCCACGUAAUGGAGUUAUUUCUCGUGAUGAGUGUGAAGAUGAAGACUAUGUAAUGGUGUAUAUGGUUUUGCUGAGUAUGUAGAAGGACCACCUUGGAUUCCCCAAGUCCCUCAUAUCGCCGGCAGUCGACUCAAAGUGGACUAUGCAGGUGUGUUCGAUUUGUGCAGUAAAUUAAUUGGGUACCUCUUUAAAGAGGUCGCAUAUUAUUAGUUGGGUACUUUGUUAACACUGUCGCAUAGUAUUAAUUGGGUACCUCUUUAAAGAGGUCGUAUAUUAUAAUUGGGUACCUGUAAAACAAAUUCGCAUAAUAUAAAUUGGGUACCUUGUUAACACUGUCGCAUAAUUUUAAUUGGGUACCUCUGUAACAUGGUUGCAUAAAUUAGGAUGGCAUCUUAUUUUUCA
Molecule: long non-coding RNA, 954 nt
Organism: Papaver somniferum (opium poppy)
Lineage: Eukaryota; Viridiplantae; Streptophyta; Magnoliopsida; Ranunculales; Papaveraceae
Exons: 2
Source: RefSeq, a predicted model, not a curated record